AUAAAUGAUGUUACUAUUCAAUAUGCCAGUGAUGCUGGUUAGAUUAGGUACUUCCCAAUAGCAGUUGUUACCUCUUUCACAUGUUCCAGCAGGGUCUAUUGGAAACAGCUUCUCAGCCCUUCUAGGGUAUAUCUUACCUUACUCAGACCCAACUUGUGGGAAAUGACUGGGUUUGUUGUUGUUGUUGUACCUCUUUCACAUGUUCCAGCAGGGUCUAUUGGAAACAGCUUCUCAGCCCUUCAAGGGUACAUCUUACCUUACUCAGACCCAACUUGUGGGAAAUGACUGGGUUUGUUGUUGUUGUUGUACCUCUUUCACAUGUUCCAGGUGUUCGGUUUCUCUGUUGUUGUAAUUGACAAUUGGUUAUUGUUGUUGUAACUGUUUUUUUUUUUUUUUGACAUAUCCUGUAUUUAAUCAAGUAAUUAGUACCAUUGAGGAUUUGAACAGAAGAUUGGUUUGUUUUACAUAACAUAAUGAU
This 478-nucleotide long non-coding RNA is filed under the name Nicotiana tabacum (common tobacco). Its description in RNAcentral is "long non-coding RNA (NTAB_LNC002645)". Lineage: Eukaryota; Viridiplantae; Streptophyta; Magnoliopsida; Solanales; Solanaceae. The record is from RNAcentral.